Molecule: ribosomal RNA, 406 nt
Filed under: uncultured bacterium
Lineage: Bacteria
Description: partial 16S ribosomal RNA
Rfam family: Bacterial small subunit ribosomal RNA
Source: RNAcentral
AUUGAACGCUGGCGGCAUGCCUAACACAUGCAAGUCGAACGAGUGGCGGACGGGUGAGUAAUGUCUGGGAAACUUCCCGAUGGAGGGGGAUAACUACUUGAAACGGUAGCUAAUACCGCAUACCAUCGGAUGGUCCCAGAUGGGAUUAGCGUGUUGGCGAGGUAAUGGCUCACCUAGGCGACGAUCCCUAGCUGGUCUGAGAGGAUGACCGGCCACACGUGAACUGAGCCACGGUCCAUAGUCCUACGGGAGGCAGCAGUGGGGAAUAUUGCACAAUGGGCGAAAGCCUGAUGCAGCCAUGCCGCGUGUAUGAAGAAGGUUUUCGGUUUUUAAAGUUCUGUCAUUGGGGAGGCGUUAACCACCGAGGAAGCGCCGGCUAACUCCGGGCCAGCAGCCGCGGUAAUAC